UACGGAGGGUGCGAGCGUUGUCCAGAAUCACUGGGCGUAAAGGGCGCGUAGGCGGCUCAUGAAGGCUGUGGUGAAAGUCCGGGGCUCAACCUCGGAUCGGCCGUGGCGACUCGUGGGCUGGAGCACUGUAGAGGCGGGUGGAAUUCCGGGUGUAGCGGUGGAAUGCGUAGAGAUCCGGAAGAACACCAGUGGCGAAGGCGGCCCGCUGGGCAGUGGCUGACGCUGAGGCGCGACAGCGUGGGGAGCAAACAGG
RNAcentral lists this ribosomal RNA (253 nucleotides) under uncultured bacterium. Its description in RNAcentral is "partial 16S ribosomal RNA". It matches the Rfam family "Bacterial small subunit ribosomal RNA", at positions 524 to 776 of the family's 1533-position model. The record is from RNAcentral.